CAUACUGAACAAGAACAAAUUCAACAGUAACGAAGGCAUACCUCCGUCCUCAAGAGGUCUUUUCUGUCCUCCAUAACCGUAGUCAUUUGAAUUCAUUGAUG
This is a non-coding RNA of Tinamus guttatus (white-throated tinamou), 101 nucleotides long. Lineage: Eukaryota; Metazoa; Chordata; Aves; Tinamiformes; Tinamidae. The record is from RefSeq and is a predicted model, not a curated record.